GUUCGCUCACAGGGAGUGGAGUGUGUAGGGGAUGUGUUAUGUGUUAUUGUAGAGGAUCUAAUAUGUGUGCUUAUGGUAUGUAGUGUAUAGGGUUACCAGUUUGUGCAGGUGAUGUAGUGUGUUUGUGUGUAGUGGAAGCAGUGUGUAUUUGUGUAUAAGGGAUGUAUUAUGUGUUUCUGGUUGUGUGUAAGGGAUGCAUUGUGUGAAUCUGUGUUUGUAUGCAUAAGGGAUGCAAGGUGUGUGUCUGUAUGUGUGUGCAUUGAGUGUAAGAGAUGCAUUGUGUUUCUGUGUGUAUGUAAGAAAAGAAGUGUGUGUGUUUGCAUAUGUGUGUACGGGUUUGCAUUGUCUGUUUCUGUGUAUGUGUGCAAAGGAUGCAUUGUCUUUGUGUGUAAGGGUUGCA
RNAcentral lists this long non-coding RNA (400 nucleotides) under Pelobates cultripes (western spadefoot toad). The record is from RNAcentral. Lineage: Eukaryota; Metazoa; Chordata; Amphibia; Anura; Pelobatidae.